UGCGCAUCACCUCUUGCUUGUCUAGAUCAGCCCGGACGUUGGCAUGUGUAGCGCAUUUUGUCGGGUUUCGAGAUCAAGAAUCGAUGUCCCUUUGUUGGUUGGUUUUCCGAGAAUCCUUGUCCCUUGAUUACGUUGGCCACCCGGGAAAAUGCGCCUCACUUGCUAGCACGUCUAGAUCAGCCAGGGCGUAGGCAUGUGUAUCGUAUUUUGCCGGGUUUCGAGAUCAAGAAUCGAUGUCCCUUUGUUGGUUGGUUUUCCGAGAAUCCUUGACCCUUGAUUUGUUACUUUCGCAUCGUUCGGUGCAUUCUGGGGGAUGUUUUGGCUUUUGGUGGCUUACUUGGCCUUUUGGCUGGGUUUGUUGCUAUUGGUCGGGCGGCUUUCGGGAAUGUCGACCGUGGAGGUGCAUGAGUGGUGUUUGGUUUGUUACGUGUGGAUGGCUGUUUGCUUGCGCAACAACGUUCACGCUGCAUACCUCUUCAGUUUUGCGGCAAGGCUUGGUUUGGCUUGUGCAUAUUGUGGGUUUCCUGUGUUGCAUACCUAGUUGAAGGAAAAGUGUGGGUUUUACGAUUUUCAUUUUCGUCUUGCGUCGUUCUUUCGGCAUGGGAUGAGCAAUGAAGCGAUCUUUAUGAUCCAUCGUGCUGUUGUGUUUGCAACAAUGAUGUGGCCUAUGAAGCAUCGUUUGGUCUCUUGUAUACGGAAGCUCAUUUGGGCUUGGGUCUUCAUAAGAUCUUCGUUAUGCCCUUGUUAAGCGUUCUCGCUUCUCCUAAACGAUUG
This 774-nucleotide unclassified non-coding RNA is filed under the name Centaurea litardierei. RNAcentral describes it as "partial external transcribed spacer". Lineage: Eukaryota; Viridiplantae; Streptophyta; Magnoliopsida; Asterales; Asteraceae. The record is from RNAcentral.